Molecule: non-coding RNA, 1691 nt
Organism: Podarcis muralis (Common wall lizard)
Lineage: Eukaryota; Metazoa; Chordata; Lepidosauria; Squamata; Lacertidae
Source: RefSeq, a predicted model, not a curated record
GCUAUGAAGAGAGGAAUAUCAGGAUGCCUUAGGCCUUGUUCUUUGUUUGAAGAAUAUUUGAGGAGAGACCUUGAAGUUGCCCUUCAGCACCUGGACAACAGGCUAACAGGUCACCUGGCCACACCCUUCCCCACUGUGCUGAGAUGGACUGUGUUUCUAUUUAAAUUAUAGUAAUUACUUCUACAUUUGCCUCUCUAUGUAUAAAUGAGCUUAGGCAAUUUGUAUACAAAUCUGUGCCCUCCUUUUGCCCUCUGCUUGGGUAUGUGAUGCAUUUUCUUGGGGGGGGGCAGCAAUCUGUUAUGUGGGCACCCAAGGAUGGCUAGAGUGUGCUGCUAUUGGGCCAGGCCUAGCUGGCCAGGUAAACUGCAGGGCAGGGCAGGCAGAGAAUGGCGAGACAGCCAAAGGCUGCAUCUCCUCCUCUUCCUCUUGCUCUUCAGAGCUCCCACCACAGCAGUUUCAGAAGCUUCAACCAGUGAACGGUGCCCCCUCUGGAAGCCCAGUCAAGCCACCCCAGUGCUGAGUCUGCUGAUCAGUCUGAAGCUCCCAGUGCGACAGGAAGGAAUCCAGAAUGAUCUUUUAGAUACUGUUUUCUCCUUGUAUCUUGACAGGAAGAAUAAUGUCUCUCCGCUUCUUCUCCCAGAUCAGAAAAAAAAGCGAGGCUAUGCGUGCACCGGCAGUACCGCCAUGUUAUCAACAGCAGAGAGGGGCAUUCUCAGACCACUUCCAGAGAACUUGUCAAGGCAAUUAACAAUUGGCAGAAACAUUCAUGCUUGGCAUUAAAGGCCCUGGCGCUAGUUAGGAAAGAUAAUUUAUUUUCUCAGGAUCUCUCGCCAGGAAGUAAGCCAUAAACUCCAAAGCCACAUCUACUUUUCAACUAGUGACAGUGGAGAAUAUUUCAACUUUAUCUCCUUAGCUAUCUCCCUUCAACUGUUCUGUGGCUACAGCCUCCCAUUACUGCUCAUCCGGACUGCAUAUAGGAUUGCUGCUGCAUUCUUUGACAAUGUACGUAUCCGGGGGUGUAAUGGACACAGGAACGCGAAUAUAUUUUGGAACAAUAUGGACUCUCAGAAAACACGCAAGGGUACUAAAACUGCCUUAAGUUCCAAAUAAUAGGAAUUUCUGCCUGAGAACGGUGCCAGAGGCCACAUUCCAGAGAUCAGUCAGUCUACUGCUUCAUCCCUAUCAGAUGUGGUACACCAAAUAUCACAGCAACGCUUUUUCUCUCCAGCGCUGGAUAUUCCCACUUGAGUGUGUAGUGAGACAACCACAAAAUGUUAGCUAAUGAAACACAGACUUAGGGGGGCGGAGGGUGGAGCUGGGACAACACUGGAAAGGGAGAACGUGUAUCCUGACUGAUGUUUCUCAAAUGGGAUGACAAGGGCUUCCCGCAGUCCCUGGAGCCCUUUUGUGUGUGUCUUGUGCUGAGUGCCAUUGGGAAUGCGAAAGCGCUGGGAAUUCUUCUGCCCCCACAGACUCUGGUAGCCUUUCAGUGGCAUACAAACAGAUGACGAAGGGCUGGCCUUUUCAUCUCAAAGAUCAAGAAAGAACAUGAAGCUCUGAAGGCACAAUGUGAGCAAUAAACAUCCUUCGUUACGAAGCUGAAUUGAAAAGUAGAACUGACACCUUUCUUGUGUGGCCCUUUUCUUGUAUAUCAUAGCAUGGAAAAUAAACAGGUGCAGUGUUUACAACCA